UGCCAGCAGCCGCGGUAACACGUAGGGACCAAGCGUUGUCCGGAUUUAUUGGGCGUAAAGAGCUCGUAGGCUGUUGCGUAAGUCGGAUGUGAAAACUCAGGGCUCAACCCUGAGACGCCAUCUGAUACUGCGCUGACUAGAGUCCGGUAGGGGAGCAUGGAAUUCCUGGUGUAGCGGUGAAAUGCGCAGAUAUCAGGAGGAACACCAGUGGCGAAGGCGGUGCUCUGGGCCGGUACUGACGCUGAGGAGCGAAAGCAUGGGGAGCAAACAGGAUUAGAUA
RNAcentral lists this ribosomal RNA (280 nucleotides) under uncultured bacterium. RNAcentral's name for it is "partial 16S ribosomal RNA". It matches the Rfam family "Bacterial small subunit ribosomal RNA", at positions 506 to 784 of the family's 1533-position model. The record is from RNAcentral.